Long non-coding RNA from Entelurus aequoreus (snake pipefish), 990 nucleotides. RefSeq lists it as uncharacterized. The transcript is spliced from 4 exons. The record is from RefSeq and is a predicted model, not a curated record. NCBI's taxonomy places the organism in Eukaryota, Metazoa, Chordata, Actinopteri, Syngnathiformes, Syngnathidae.
UCUUGACCAUGUCCGUCUAGAGGACAUCAAUUUGGAAUGGAUCACCCCAUUCUGGAAAACACAAGUCUUGACCACGUCACUCUUGAACAGGACUUCUUUUAGCAGGUGUCGUCUUGGCCUGUUGGUGUCAACGUCCACGGGAAUGACUGUGGAAGGAAGUGAACUCUUAUUUUAAAGACAUACGCAAGGACAAGGGGGUCUCCACGGUAGGCAUGUCCAGAAAGGAGUACUCCACAUAGAGACGCACCACGCUGCUGUCUAGAGAGAUGCGAGACUCCGCCUGCAGGCGUAAGGACAUGACCUCCACCCGCACUCGCUCUGACACCUUAGGGGAGGAUCACCAUCAACCCCUUGUCUCUGAUGAACCCAUCAUGGUGAGAUGCUUACUGACAUUCGUGGGACUGUCAGGGUGGUGAACGAUGCCAUCGUCGCUGUCCGACUGAAUUGAACCGCUGCGGUUUCGUCUGCGCACCGGUGCCAUCUCAUCAUCUGUGUGGAAGAAGUGAGAACGCCACCUGCUGGACAAGAGGCAUAUCUUCUAGAAAGGUCACUCUUCUGGCAGCCUGUUCCUGUUUGCCUGGCAUCUUCUUGGUGGACUUCAGUGUAGCUUCCUAAAGGGAGGAAAGAAGACUUUAGGGCGGUGGUUCUCAAUUAUUUUCUGCAUUGCUACACCCAAGCAGACAAAAAUAUUUUCAUGCCGCCCAUGAAUUGAAAUACAGUGUAACCUCGAUCUUUGUGUACGAAGGUUUUAUUUCGUCAUUAGUUUUUAGUCCCGCCUGCAGGCAAAAGCAGGGUGCAGCAUUUUUGGGGAGGUAGAGCACCCCACGUCACCUGCUGCACAAUGAAGGACACUCCUUGUCACUUCUCAGAGCUUCAGCAUGUGUGCCUUUUGUGUUUUUUCUUACCCUUUUGACACGUUUGUAUUUUUUAAAAUGUUUGUAUAUGUGGCAAUAUGGUUGUUAAGGUUUUUUUGUGAUUCCCGAUGUUUUG